GAAAAUUUUCAACGGUGGAUAUCUUGGUUCCCAUAUCGAUGAAGAACGCAGCAAAAUGCGAUACGCAAUGCGAAUUGCAGAAUUCCGCGAGUCAUCAGAUCUUUGAACGCAAUUGGCGCUGGUUUAACCGCCAGCAUGUCUGCUUCAGUGU
Molecule: ribosomal RNA, 151 nt
Filed under: Cardiostomatella vermiformis
Lineage: Eukaryota; Ciliophora; Oligohymenophorea; Philasterida; Loxocephalidae
Description: 5.8S ribosomal RNA
Rfam family: 5.8S ribosomal RNA
About the family: 5.8S ribosomal RNA (5.8S rRNA) is a component of the large subunit of the eukaryotic ribosome. It is transcribed by RNA polymerase I as part of the 45S precursor that also contains 18S and 28S rRNA. Functionally, it is thought that 5.8S rRNA may be involved in ribosome translocation.
Source: RNAcentral